GAUGAACGCUGGCGGCGUGCUUAACACAUGCAAGUCGAACGGAAAGGCUCCUGCUUGCAGGGGUACUCGAGUGGCGAACGGGUGAGUAACACGUGGGUGAUCUGCCCUGCACUUCGGGAUAAGCCUGGGAAACUGGGUCUAAUACCGGAUAGGACCACAUUUUGGAUGGUGUGGUGGAAAGUUUUUCGGUGUGGGAUGAGCUCGCGGCCUAUCAGCUUGUUGGUGGGGUAAUGGCCUACCAAGGCGUCGACGGGUAGCCGGCCUGAGAGGGUGUACGGCCACAUUGGGACUGAGAUACGGCCCAGACUCCUACGGGAGGCAGCAGUGGGGAAUAUUGCACAAUGGGCGCAAGCCUGAUGCAGCGACGCCGCGUGGGGGAUGACGGCCUUCGGGUUGUAAACUCCUUUCGCUAGGGACGAAGCGCAAGUGACGGUACCUGGAAAAGAAGCACCGGCUAACUACGUG
RNAcentral lists this ribosomal RNA (465 nucleotides) under uncultured bacterium. RNAcentral describes it as "partial 16S ribosomal RNA". It matches the Rfam family "Bacterial small subunit ribosomal RNA", at positions 28 to 507 of the family's 1533-position model. The record is from RNAcentral.